UUCUCCCGGAGGCGCAUGAUGUCCUCGGCCAGGUUGUCGCGCUCCACCUCGACGCGGGCUUUGUCGUUGGUUAGCUGGUCCACCUGCCGGCGCAGCUCCCGCAUCUCCUCCUCGUAGAGGUCCCCCAGGCGCGACUUGCCUUGGCCCUUGAGCUGCUCGAGCUCGGCCAGCAGGAUCUUAUUCUGCUGCUCCAGGAAGCGCACCUUGUCGAUGUAGUUGGCGAAGCGGUCAUUCAGCUCCUGCAGCUCCACCUUCUCGUUGGUGCGGGUGUUCUUGAACUCGGUGUUGAUGGCGUCGGCCAGCGAGAAGUCCACCGAGUCCUGCAGGAGCCGCACCCCGGGCACGCUGCUCCGCAGGCGCACGGCAGAGGAGCGCGUGGCAUACACGCCGCCCGGGGACGAGGCGUAGAGGCUGCGGCUGGUGCUGGGGCGCAGCGCGCUGCCCAGGCUGUAGGUGCGGGUGGACGUAGUCACGUAGCUCCGGCUGGAGCUCGGCCGGCUCGCGGUGCCCGGGCCGCCGAACAUCCUGCGGUAGGAGGACGAGGACACGGACCUGGUGGACAUGGCUGCGGAGGGUGGCGAUGGCCUGGGCGGCGGCGGUGGCGCGGACUGGCUCCCGGAGAAGAGGCGAACGAGGGCGCGAAGCCUUCGAUGUGAGGCCCAGGCAUUGAGUACCAUGUGUGCGAUUCACAAGCCUUGGCAUCUGAACAAUUUUUUGGAAGGAUCCAUCAGGACAACACGUCGGGGGUGUACUAGUGAAGUGAUUUUCCAAAUGUGCUACUCAGACCUGUAGCAUCAGCAUCACCGGAUAAUUUGUUAGAAAUUCCAACUGUUAGGCCCCACUUUAGACCAACUGAAUGUGAAACUCUGGGAGUACGUGGGGCCCAGCAAUUUGUGUUUUUACAAGACUUACCAGGUGAUUCUGAGAACCACUGUGCUAGUGAAUUGUUCCUGUCUGUGGCCACGUAGAAUAAGAAAACCAUAGGGUUGGAAAAUGGGGAAACUGGCUGGUCUUUAACUUCUGGCCUCAAGGGAUCCUGCUGUUCUGGUUUCCCAAAACACUGGGAUUGUAGACCUGAGCUACUGCACUGCAAUGGCCAAAAUGUGGUCUAUAGCGCCAUAUUAAAGGUAAAAGGGGGAAUAAAUCACUUUGUGGAUGCCCUGACUUUACAGACCAUCAUCGUGUAGGAGGUGAGGCUGCUGAGGAGAAGAUGCUUUACACACGCAAGGGUUGUAAUAAUGACUUUCAAGGUACUCAGUCUAAUCACAAAAUAGAGCUUUAAAGGUGAAUUAUUUUUGAAAUGUUCAUAUUUAGUAUUUUCCUCAUAGGCAGAAUUUUGAAAGAGUGCGUAUCUGAGGCCUGACAUAUUGUUUUGGGAGCUAAAAUGUGUUUAAAAUGUAACGUUCAGAGGAAGUUAACUGCUAACUUUUCUCAGUUGUAA
RNAcentral lists this long non-coding RNA (1441 nucleotides) under Homo sapiens (human). RNAcentral's name for it is "HSALNT0356645". The record is from RNAcentral. Lineage: Eukaryota; Metazoa; Chordata; Mammalia; Primates; Hominidae.